This 2712-nucleotide ribosomal RNA is filed under the name Staphylococcus aureus. RNAcentral describes it as "23S ribosomal RNA". It matches the Rfam family "Bacterial large subunit ribosomal RNA". The record is from RNAcentral. Lineage: Bacteria; Bacillati; Bacillota; Bacilli; Caryophanales; Staphylococcaceae.
CCGGAGGAAGAGAAAGAAAAUUCGAUUCCCUUAGUAGCGGCGAGCGAAACGGGAAGAGCCCAAACCAACAAGCUUGCUUGUUGGGGUUGUAGGACACUCUAUACGGAGUUACAAAGGACGACAUUAGACGAAUCAUCUGGAAAGAUGAAUCAAAGAAGGUAAUAAUCCUGUAGUCGAAAAUGUUGUCUCUCUUGAGUGGAUCCUGAGUACGACGGAGCACGUGAAAUUCCGUCGGAAUCUGGGAGGACCAUCUCCUAAGGCUAAAUACUCUCUAGUGACCGAUAGUGAACCAGUACCGUGAGGGAAAGGUGAAAAGCACCCCGGAAGGGGAGUGAAAUAGAACCUGAAACCGUGUGCUUACAAGUAGUCAGAGCCCGUUAAUGGGUGAUGGCGUGCCUUUUGUAGAAUGAACCGGCGAGUUACGAUUUGAUGCAAGGUUAAGCAGUAAAUGUGGAGCCGUAGCGAAAGCGAGUCUGAAUAGGGCGUUUAGUAUUUGGUCGUAGACCCGAAACCAGGUGAUCUACCCUUGGUCAGGUUGAAGUUCAGGUAACACUGAAUGGAGGACCGAACCGACUUACGUUGAAAAGUGAGCGGAUGAACUGAGGGUAGCGGAGAAAUUCCAAUCGAACCUGGAGAUAGCUGGUUCUCUCCGAAAUAGCUUUAGGGCUAGCCUCAAGUGAUGAUUAUUGGAGGUAGAGCACUGUUUGGACGAGGGGCCCCUCUCGGGUUACCGAAUUCAGACAAACUCCGAAUGCCAAUUAAUUUAACUUGGGAGUCAGAACAUGGGUGAUAAGGUCCGUGUUCGAAAGGGAAACAGCCCAGACCACCAGCUAAGGUCCCAAAAUAUAUGUUAAGUGGAAAAGGAUGUGGCGUUGCCCAGACAACUAGGAUGUUGGCUUAGAAGCAGCCAUCAUUUAAAGAGUGCGUAAUAGCUCACUAGUCGAGUGACACUGCGCCGAAAAUGUACCGGGGCUAAACAUAUUACCGAAGCUGUGGAUUGUCCUUUGGACAAUGGUAGGAGAGCGUUCUAAGGGCGUUGAAGCAUGAUCGUAAGGACAUGUGGAGCGCUUAGAAGUGAGAAUGCCGGUGUGAGUAGCGAAAGACGGGUGAGAAUCCCGUCCACCGAUUGACUAAGGUUUCCAGAGGAAGGCUCGUCCGCUCUGGGUUAGUCGGGUCCUAAGCUGAGGCCGACAGGCGUAGGCGAUGGAUAACAGGUUGAUAUUCCUGUACCACCUAUAAUCGUUUUAAUCGAUGGGGGGACGCAGUAGGAUAGGCGAAGCGUGCGAUUGGAUUGCACGUCUAAGCAGUAAGGCUGAGUAUUAGGCAAAUCCGGUACUCGUUAAGGCUGAGCUGUGAUGGGGAGAAGACAUUGUGUCUUCGAGUCGUUGAUUUCACACUGCCGAGAAAAGCCUCUAGAUAGAAAAUAGGUGCCCGUACCGCAAACCGACACAGGUAGUCAAGAUGAGAAUUCUAAGGUGAGCGAGCGAACUCUCGUUAAGGAACUCGGCAAAAUGACCCCGUAACUUCGGGAGAAGGGGUGCUCUUUAGGGUUAACGCCCAGAAGAGCCGCAGUGAAUAGGCCCAAGCGACUGUUUAUCAAAAACACAGGUCUCUGCUAAACCGUAAGGUGAUGUAUAGGGGCUGACGCCUGCCCGGUGCUGGAAGGUUAAGAGGAGUGGUUAGCUUCUGCGAAGCUACGAAUCGAAGCCCCAGUAAACGGCGGCCGUAACUAUAACGGUCCUAAGGUAGCGAAAUUCCUUGUCGGGUAAGUUCCGACCCGCACGAAAGGCGUAACGAUUUGGGCACUGUCUCAACGAGAGACUCGGUGAAAUCAUAGUACCUGUGAAGAUGCAGGUUACCCGCGACAGGACGGAAAGACCCCGUGGAGCUUUACUGUAGCCUGAUAUUGAAAUUCGGCACAGCUUGUACAGGAUAGGUAGGAGCCUUUGAAACGUGAGCGCUAGCUUACGUGGAGGCGCUGGUGGGAUACUACCCUAGCUGUGUUGGNUUUCUAACCCGCACCACUUAUCGUGGUGGGAGACAGUGUCAGGCGGGCAGUUUGACUGGGGCGGUCGCCUCCUAAAAGGUAACGGAGGCGCUCAAAGGUUCCCUCAGAAUGGUUGGAAAUCAUUCAUAGAGUGUAAAGGCAUAAGGGAGCUUGACUGCGAGACCUACAAGUCGAGCAGGGUCGAAAGACGGACUUAGUGAUCCGGUGGUUCCGCAUGGAAGGGCCAUCGCUCAACGGAUAAAAGCUACCCCGGGGAUAACAGGCUUAUCUCCCCCAAGAGUUCACAUCGACGGGGAGGUUUGGCACCUCGAUGUCGGCUCAUCGCAUCCUGGGGCUGUAGUCGGUCCCAAGGGUUGGGCUGUUCGCCCAUUAAAGCGGUACGCGAGCUGGGUUCAGAACGUCGUGAGACAGUUCGGUCCCUAUCCGUCGUGGGCGUAGGAAAUUUGAGAGGAGCUGUCCUUAGUACGAGAGGACCGGGAUGGACAUACCUCUGGUGUACCAGUUGUCGUGCCAACGGCAUAGCUGGGUAGCUAUGUGUGGACGGGAUAAGUGCUGAAAGCAUCUAAGCAUGAAGCCCCCCUCAAGAUGAGAUUUCCCAACUUCGGUUAUAAGAUCCCUCAAAGAUGAUGAGGUUAAUAGGUUCGAGGUGGAAGCAUGGUGACAUGUGGAGCUGACGAAUACUAAUCGAUCGAAGACUUAAUCAA